RNAcentral lists this transfer RNA (72 nucleotides) under Pilatotrama ljubarskyi. Its description in RNAcentral is "tRNA-Glu". It matches the Rfam family "tRNA". Rfam says of the family: Transfer RNA (tRNA) molecules are approximately 80 nucleotides in length. Their secondary structure includes four short double-helical elements and three loops (D, anti-codon, and T loops). The record is from RNAcentral. Lineage: Eukaryota; Fungi; Basidiomycota; Agaricomycetes; Polyporales; Polyporaceae.
UCCGAUAUGGUGUAGUGGCUAACAUUAUCGCCUCUCACGCGAUAGCCCGGGGUUCGAUUCCCCGUAUUGGAA